GGGAUACCAUGGAAUAAAAAGGUAGGAGAGAUGUAAAGCAUGAGACAGACUUCCACCCACAGUUGCUGACUUUCAAGAUGAAGAGGCCAUGAGCUAAAAAAUGCUGAAAGUCUCUAGAGGCUGAGAGCAACCACUGGCAACAGCCAGCAAGGAAGUGGCAGCUUCAGUCCUCUAACCAACCACAUGGAGCUGAAUUCUUUCAACAGCCUGAAAGAGCCUAGCAGUACGGUUUCCUCCAGAGCCUUCAGAAGUCUGCCCUCCAUUUUCUCCCUUGGGGGAAGCAUUCCUGGAGCCAAGUUCUCCAGCCCCAGUAAACUUCGCUGAACUCCUUUACUUUGGUCUCAUGUAAGCUUCUUCUACCCACCAAAGUCAGCUUUUAUUUGUGACUCCAAAACAAAGAGACUUUGAGACUUCAGGAAAUACAUCAGGAUACGUAGUUCCUGCUUAAGCCUGAGGAGAAAGUGGGGGUUAGAUCAAGAAACAUUUUUAAAAGUUGAAAUUUGCUCACGCUGGAGGAAGCCAGCUGCGAUUUCAUCAAGCACGUCCGUGAAGAAGUCGACAUGAGUCUGUCUGGAAGCAGAUCCUCCCUCAACAGAACUUUUUUCUAGGCUUGGCUAACCACUGACUGCAACCUCAUGAGAGACCUUGAAACGACCAGCUAACCCAUGUUCCAGUUCCCGACUCAUAGAAACUGUGAGAUCAAUGUUUUUUAUUUCAAGCUGCUAAGUUUUGGGGUACUUUUUUUUACACAGCAAUUGAGAACUAAUACAACAAAUACGUACUCACGGCUCAAUGCAAUCCUCAAAACCAGCACUUUAUGGAGUGUUCCUAAUAGUCUGUAUCCAAAGCACUCUCUUUAAAACAGUUUGAUUAAAAGAAAAUAAUAAUGAUUGUCUUUUCCUAGUAUAAAAAGACAAGACACAUUUGGAAUUGAUGAGUUAGUCUUCACACUAAAGUAGUACUCACUUGACCUACUCAUACUUGACAUCGUUGUUUUCUUUCAUCAACUGCAGGACCUGCCUAAGAAGUUUCUUAGAAUCUGCUACCAACAUAUGAACAAAGGUAAUUUAGAAGACUUGGAUAUUAGCCUUAACUCCACUCUAAACUCACUGUAUAUCUUUGCCUACAGUGUUCAAUGUUCCUACAGUCAAUAAGCCUUGUCAGUUGUACAUCUUGUACUGGCACUGUGGAUUGCUGAUUUGUUCUCAAUUAGGGGAUGUCAAAACAUCCUAGAGAUUAAAAGGACUAUAUCAUCAAAUAUCACUCAUAGCAAUGAGGAAUAAAAAACUAAGGUCAGAAUGAGGAAUCAUGACACAUAAUUAAAAUGUUUUUACUGUAGUUUUCUUAGAGCUGUAAUAGAGCCUUGAAUCAGUAAGAGCUGUAUUAAGACUCUCAUAGAUGAAUGGGCUGAAAGUAUAAACAAAAAUUCACAGAAAUAGACAUUUACACACACAAGAAGUAUAGGAAAAAUGUUAAAACCUCAUUAGUAAUCAAAGAAAUGGAAAUUACCAAAUAAGAAUUGUUUAAAGGGUUACCCUAUCAAGUUGGCAACGAUAAAGAAAGAAUAAAAUGAAACACUAGUGAAACUGUAGUGACAGGAGCACACUAUCAGGUUUCUGGUAGCAGGAAUUCUGGAGAGCUGUUUGGCACUGUGUAUCAACUACCACAAAAAGUUCAAUGCUUUGAUUCCUGGAGUCCACUUCUAGAAAUCUUUUUUAAUAAUCUAAUCUGAGAUAUAGCCAAAUAUUUGUGUAAAAAUAUAUCAUGGGAAUGUAAUUAAUAAUAAAGAAGAUAAUGGAAGGAAGGAAGAAAGGAGCCAUCUGAAUGUCCAUUCACGGAAUGACAUACUGAAACAUGGCAAAUCCAUACCUUGAAGCAUUACACAGACAUCAAAAGUGGUAUUUUUAAAAGACUAUGUAAUAGAAGCAAUAGCAGCAUAUUUUAAAAGAUUAUUAUUUUUAAAGACUAUAUAAUGUUUUAAAUAGUACGUGAUAGAAAUAACAGCAUGAAAAAAGUUUAUGCACUAUUUAAUGUUAAGUAAAAAUGAUAAAACAUAAAAAUAUUAAAUAUGAUCCUAAUUUUGUAUGUAUAAAAGACUUAAAAGUUACUAUUUCUAUUGCUGGAAUUUCAAGUUUAAUUUUUUUAUUUAUAAUAUAUUGUCUGGGUAACCUAAAAAACAAUGUUUCCAACAAAUGAAUGUAGAUACUUUCUUCUCUCUUUCCUUUAAUUCUAUCUCAGAAGGUUUUACUAAAGGAAAGGUCUUGCUGAACUUUCAGAAAGCUGUCAUUUAGUUUGAAUCUUACACAGCGUUUUAUUUCUCUUCAAUAAAUAUCAAGAUCAGGAUUUAACACGUAGAUCAUAUCUGCAUAGUUAUAAAAUGGGCACACGACUUCCUUAGAUGAAAUGUUUCACUAGGCUUAUUUUUUAAAAGCUACAGAAUUUCUGCAAAUUAGAAUGUAUAAAAUAAAAUAGGGAUGAAAAUAAGUCAUAUAAUGGAUCCUUUAAUUUUCAUUGAAAAAACAUUGGGCAUGAUUAAAGGAAUUGGCUAAAAGGCAAUUUACGAAUUGCCUUUUAUGAAGCAUUUCAGUGAAUUACAGCCUUUGAAGAGGAAAUAAAGAUGUGUGGAUUAUUUGCUGUUUGAAAUGUACACAAAUUUUAUGCAUUUGUGGAUUGUGAGAAUAAAACUGGUCCAGAACCCUUACUGCUACACUUAUUGUUUUUAUCUCAGUGAUAACUCUUGACCUUGACCAAGAAAAAUUGCUUAGUUUGAAAUUCAAAUUUUGAGUGCAAUACAAAUAAAUUAAUUCUUGAGCUACUGAACAUAAGAGGCAGAUGGAAGUAGCUGACUACAUGAUCUUGCCAUCAUCCUUGGAAGACUAAAAUCUCUCCAUCAGAUUUGGUUAAUACCUUUACCUGUUCAAAAGCAAAUGGAGCACUAACGGAGAAGGAACAAAGUGACCCUAUGCCAGCGUUUCUGAAACAUGACAUGCAGCUUGCUACUAGUAAGUGGAAAUGUGGUCAUCUAUCAGUGUGGCAGUCACUAAGAAUUUUAAAAAGAAAGAGAUAUUAUAAUGCUGGAACACAGCUAAAAUAACAAUGAUAAAAAGCCAUGAUGAUAGUCUCCCAAAAAAUGAAGAAAAAAGAAAAAGAAAGAGGGAGAGAGAGAUUCAUGUCUUUCCAAAUGAAAGCAGGAAAUGUUUUAUGGAAGAAUAAAAGUGGACACAAAGAUAAGUUUUUGCUGCUUUCCUUUCUGGUCAGGUCUUCUCCUGAAUGGAUGAGGUCAUGAGGAAUUCGCAUUUAAGUGACUUUUUCUUUGAUUUCUAAAGACAAGAGCCUGAAAAGGCUCAGAAUGCUACCAAACUAGAUAAAGGGCACACCAAUGAGGGGGACUUUGCUUUUUAAAAUUAUGGUGGACUCAGUGCCAGCCUGGUGGUGUAGUGGUUAAGUUUGCAUGCUCUGCUUUGGUGGCUUGGGCUUCACAGGUUCUGAUCCUUGGCACAGACCUACACACUGCUCAUCAAGCAGUGCUGUGGUGGCAUCCCACAUACGAAAUAAAGGAAGAUUGGCACAGAUGUUAGUUCAGGGACAAUCUUCCUCAAACAAAAAGAGGAAGAUUGGCAACAGGUGUUAGCUCAGGGCCAAUCUUCCUUACCAAAAACAAAUGUGAUGGACUUGGGAAAAAACACUUGAACACUGAGAAAUCCUGAAAGAAUUCAGGAUAUAUUCUGAAAUUCACAAAUGAUAUAUUCUUAAUAAGUCAUUCUGUGCAUAGAUAAUACACAUAAUUUAACUGUUAACCAAGGCUUAAACUACCUAACCUACUCAACUUACAGAAAAAGACUUGAGUACAGAUAAUUUAUCUGCAAGAUAAUCUCAACAAAUAAAAAGUAGGCUGAGGAAUCAGGGAGAGUGAGACACAGAGGGAAGAAAAACCAAGGUAAGAUAUGUUGUCAAGGCCACUGUUAUAGGCAAUGGAACUCCUCUCUGGUUAUGAUUUUUGGGUUUUUUGCUUGUUUGUUUUGUUUUGUUUUGGAAAAACUUCCAGGGCCUUGGAGAAGUGAACAAAAUAUUUCUCAGAAAUGUCCAUCCAAAGAAUUCGCACUAAGGUAUUUCAACAGUGGCUUCUGUCUACCAUUUUUUAAGGGUAGUUCACAGGGACAUUAACAUGCUCACAAGUGCCGAGUGUGUGCUCCACAGCUUCAGAAAAGGCUCUGGGGCAGAAAAGGGAAGCAGGCACAUCGGGUUAGACUGUCAUCAUACAUGGGUGCAUCAUGCAUCAUUUUAGAGGGAAAAUUCUUCAAGGCAGAGAUUUUCUCAUUCAUCUUUGUAUUCCUCACAGUACCUAACACCCUGAAUUAUAACACCAUGUAUCCAAAAUGUUAUCAAUUAAAUAAACGGUGCUUUGAACAUCCUGCCUCAUGAAAGUCACUUAUGAUGCCUUAGCUAUAGUUUAUUCCUCCGUCCAAGCACUUAUCACAUUACAUUUUAAAUAUUUGUCUCUUUUCUCCCAUUAUAUUAUAAGCUUAUUAAGAGCAGAAAGAGUCUCACCCUUGUAUUCCGAACACAUAGCCCACUGAAUGCUGCUUAAUGACCUCUCAAUAAAUAUUAAAUCAAUGAAUUAGUGUUAGAAAUCUGUUCUUGGAGAUUUCUUUAUUUGGUACGGCUUUGCUUCCCAAAGAAAUAUUCAUUUCAUAUCAAUGCCUGACUUAUUUCACAAAUCUUGUCAUCUCAUUAACGUUUUUGAUAUAAAGCGCAAUGUUCUAGCCUAUAUGAUAUUCAAUAAAUUUCAAUCACGGUCAGUGGAUGUCAAGAUGUUACCAAAAUUCUGCACAUUUCAGUAUGGUAGACAUUAGUGAAAUGUGGCCAUUUAAAAUAAUUAAAAUUUAAUGUAAUUUAAAAUUUAGUUCCUCAGUCACACAUUUCAAGUGUUCAAUAGCCAUAUGUGACUAGUUGCUACCCUGCUAGAUAGCACAGAUUAUAGAACAUUUCUUCCAUCAUGACAAAAAGUUGUGUUGAAGAGUACUAUCAUAGAAUUUUGCAAAAAAGUCCCAGGUUCUAUAGCAUGGAACAUUCAAUUCUGAAGUAGGACUGGACAUUGGUGCUCCUACCACCAGCCCCAAACAAAUUUCUUCUGCCCACUUUGUGGCCAGGAGAAUGAGCAGCCCAGCCCCUCUCAGGUUCACUGAAGAAUCUGACUCAGGAUGUCGGGAAUGAGGCAGAGGUGAGGUCUGCAGCACUGGGUGCUCAUAGAAGGCAAUUUCUCCUCUUCACCUGGGUCUGAAGAACAGUAUCACUUCUGGUAAGUUCCCUGAGGUGAUUUCGGAGAACUGAGAGCUAAAUCCCUAAGACAAUCUCUCUUAUUUAUAUUAAGUGACAGAUAAAGGGAAGCUGAUCAGUAGAUAUUAGCUGUAAAGAACUUACAAGUAAUGUUAUUAGCUCUGAACAGCCUCUCCUGUGCAUUUUUCUCUGUGACCUUGAGGUUCUCAGGUGGUGUUCAUCCCAGCAGUAAAUGCCAUGCUGUUGUCUAAACUAUGUGACGUUUGGAAUUUCACUUACUAACUGUAGAUUUUAAAGGGAAUGGUGCAAUAAUUUUCUUAGAUUUCUUUGGGUAUACAUUGCCUUUUAGUUUGAGUUUUGUGUUAAGAUAUUUAAAGUCAAGUGACCUCUAGUUUAACCUUUAGAGUCCCAAAUCAACCGUUUCAAGACAGAAAAUGCCAGGCUAAUUACACCAUUUCCUCUCAGUGUUCUAUUCUUCAAAACCACGUGGUGCUUAUCUACUAGAGGCCAAGACACAUUUCCUUCAGUUGGGUGAAUUAGCAAUGAUGAUCCAGUUAGUACUAUUUCAAAGUGGCAUGUAGACAGUGCCUAUCCCUUGCUGAAAACAAAACGUGUUUUUUUUUUAAUUAGAGUAGCCAAAAACUAUAAAAUAUCCAGAACAUUUCUGGUAAAUCCUGGAGCCCUGUUGUGGUGAGUAAAGUCCCAUAUGUAAAUACAAAUGAAUCAUCCUGUGGUUUGUACUCACGUGUUCCCAAACAACUUUGUGUUUAUUUCACUUUAACCAACACUUCAUUUGAUGCUAUGAUUGAGAGAAAGACAGCAUAUAAGUGGAGAAUUGGAAUUUUAUUGUUGUUGCUUGUCAAAUAAUUCUUUUGUUGAAAGUUAUAAUGACUCUAUUUCCUUUCAUUUUGUUUCUGAUGUGCGUGUGUGCGUUUGAAUUGGGGCUCUCAUCUCAUCUUGAUUCUUUCCAUUCUUACAACUCCAUGCCCCUCUGGUCUCUGGAAAAUCAUUUAAAAUUCACAUAUUUUUUGGAAGUCUUUUUUGACUUACCCAGACAAACGUUAAUCAAAU
This is a long non-coding RNA of Equus caballus (horse), 6348 nucleotides long. Lineage: Eukaryota; Metazoa; Chordata; Mammalia; Perissodactyla; Equidae. The record is from Ensembl.